CAAAUGAUGGAAUUCUUAUGACCCAGCUGCGUUAGCUUUGCCGAGUGCCCUUGAGGCGCUAGGCGGACGGUUAUGCUGCCCCUUUUUUCGGCCAUGCUCUUCCCUUUUCGGGAACCAUGGAAAAUAAUGUGGUAUUGCUUGUUGCCUCGGAUGCGGAGCACGAAGCGAGCGUGAUGCUUGUCAUCAUUCGCUCAAUCGGAGCUCUCGAUUGCUCGAAAAGAGUGACUGUCGCGCAUGGUUUUGGCUAUCGACUCGUCGAACCAGCUCAAAACCUUGCCGACGUCUUCAAUGAAUGCUACCUGGUUGAUCCUGCCAGUAGUCAUAUGCUUGUCUCAAAGAUUAAGCCAUGC
Molecule: ribosomal RNA, 350 nt
Filed under: Echeveria schaffneri
Lineage: Eukaryota; Viridiplantae; Streptophyta; Magnoliopsida; Saxifragales; Crassulaceae
Description: partial 18S ribosomal RNA
Rfam family: Eukaryotic small subunit ribosomal RNA (bases 297-350)
Source: RNAcentral